RNAcentral lists this long non-coding RNA (5220 nucleotides) under Sus scrofa (pig). RNAcentral's name for it is "lncRNA (ENSSSCG00000059581.1)". The record is from RNAcentral. Lineage: Eukaryota; Metazoa; Chordata; Mammalia; Artiodactyla; Suidae.
AUCCAUAGAGAAGGAACAUAUACUAUUGUUUGUCAGAUGCCAGAGAAAGGGGAAAUGUGUACAGAGUUUUACUUUGGAGUGACAGAAAUGUUUUGGAGCUAAAUAGAGGUAAUCAUGACACAGCAUUGUAACAAUUAGUACAACCCAGUACCAAAUUCCACCCAAUUGUUCCUUUUUAAACUAUUUUAGGUUUUGUGAAUUUCCAUGAAUGCAUUGUUUUAAAAAUAUUGUUGUACUGGAGGGGGUAGUAGAGGGUCGUUUGACCUGUAAAAGACUACAUUCUAUCGCAGACUUAGUCAAGCGGUGGGCCCAGUUGUAGCUGCAGCACUCCAGGUGGUAGUCAUCUAAAAGACUAAUAAGGUCUCAGGUAUGUGACAUGCAGCCACUGAUUGGGCAAAUGUGUUCUCUCUCUCUCUCUCUUUUUUUUUUUUUUUUUUUUUUUUUGUCUUUUUGCCUUUUUAGAGCUGUAUCUGUGAUAUAUGGAUGUCCCCAGGCUAGGGGCCCAACUGGAGCUGUAGCUGCAGGCCUACACCACAGCCACAUCAAUGCCGGAUCCAGGCAGCGUCUGCAACCUAUACCACGGCUCACAGCAACGCAGGAUCCUUAACCUACUGAGCAAGGUCAGGGAUGGAACCCACAUCCUCAUGGAUGCUAGUUGGGUUCGCUAACCACUGAGCCACAAGGGGAAUUCUAAAUGUGAUCUUUUCCAUUCAAAUUAGAAAACCAUGUCAGAAGCAGUUUGCAUUCAUGUGGGAUAGACACUACUAUUUAUUUAUGCUUAUGCCUCAGGACUGUGUUAGGCUUCCUGCCUUUUGUUAUAAUAUUGUCCUAAGAGAUCUGGACCACCUGGACAUCUCGAUGUCAUGCUGCUCCAUUACACCAAUGACAUUAUGCUCAGUUGGCAAGAUGAGAAAUAAGCAACUAGUGUUCUCUAAGCCUUGGCAAGAUAUCCAUCCCAGAGAUGGGAAAGUAAACCUUCCAAGUUACAGAGACUGGACAUGUCAGUGUAAUUUGAAGGAUCUAGUAUCAGAAGACUACCAUGAUGUGUAUUUCAAAGUAAAAAACAAACUGCUGCACCUUUUUGCUUUUAUUUUCUUUUUCUCUUUAUGGCCACACCUGCGGCAUAUGGAAGUUCCUGGGCUGGGGUCAAAUUGGAGCUGCAGCCAACGCUGGUUCCAAGCUGCAUCUGUGACCUAUGCCACAGCUUAUAGCAAUGCCGGAUCCUUAACCCACUGAGAGAGGCCAGGGAUUGAACCCACCUCCUCACAGAGACAAUGUCAGGUCCUUAACCCAUUGAGCAAUAAGGAGAAAUCCCCAUUUGCUGCAUCUUGAAUCUUCCACCACAAAGAAGAAAAUAUAGUGCUUGACAGACCCCUUUGGGACUAUAGGCAGCACAACCACACCUCAGAAUAAUUACUGGGGGACACAAAAGACUGUAAGGUUUCCUGGAGUAGGAAGGGUCACUAGCGUAAGUCCAGAUCAUAGUGCAAUCAGUGCUGCAGCUUGGGUCACAUAAUCUAGCAAAGGCUAUGGCACCAGAAGUGUCAGUGGUGGGAAAGGAUGCACCAUAGUGGCUGUAAUGGGAGAGCCCCAAGGCAGGCCCCUGGAAUUCUAGGGCCAUGCUGUCAACCAUGAGAAUUAUAAAUCUUUAAGAGAGAAACAUCUUUUGACAUCAAACUGAGUCCUGGUAAAGUUGGAGCACUGGAAUGUGGGACAGGAAGUGACAAUGCCUUUGGAAUUUCCCAUUAUGAGCUGGGUUCUGUUAGGUUCACAGUCAUGAGUUCGGAGAGGCCUAGGGACACCUGUCCAUAAUAGAAUGGACCUGCACGUUCAGGAAGGAAAUUGAGCAGGACCAGAGGACACAAGUUACAUCCAUGAACACAUGGGCCAGACCCUAUGCCACCUAUAGAUUUUCAUCAGUCCUUCUCCCUCAGUUUGUAGCUAUGGCCACACAGACAUUUCCUUCAGCUAAGGGAGGAGAGAAGCAGCCCGCCUUGGCUGACGGAUAGUUCAGCUUGGUCUGCGGGUGCAAACAAAACUUAAUCUACUUGCCUUUUUUUUUUUUUUUUUUUUGGAAGAAGAAAUGGCCUCAGAUGUCCUGUCAAGGGCCUAGGAAAAAAAAGAACUAGAAGAUUGGAGUCAUCUUCCAGAUAAAGACAUGAGUGGGUCCUAUGGAAGUGGGUGCACAAUGUUACAUGUGAAUCCCCACCAGAAAGCAGGCACCACAGGAUGGAGACUGAACAGCCAGACAAUGUGAAUGACCAGGUUCUUUAGCCAGCUUUCGUCAUCAUCCACUGUACAAGUGGCAUGACAAGCUUAUGAACAGAGUGGUCAUGAUGACAAAGUAAGAGGCUAUUAAUGGGCCCAACAGUGCAGACUCCCACUCACCAAGGCAAAUCUAUUAAUACCCCUGGGUGUCCGACUUAUCAGUAACAGAGAAUAAUGGAACAUGGACCUUUGGAUAUGACACUGUCCAUUGGGGAGACCAACAGGCUACUUGGCGGCAAGUUGAUUACACUGAAUCCUUUUUUAUUCCCAAAAGGCCAUCUGUUAAACCUCAUGUGGAUACUACAUAUAUUCUGGGUAUGGGUUUUCUUUUCCUGCCCACACAGCUAAGCUGGCACUACUCUCUGAGAGCUUAAACAUACCUGAUCUACAGACAGGACUUCACACACACCAUUGGAUCAGGGAAUGCUAUGAAGUGAAGGAAGUGCAAAAGGAGAAGAAGGUGCUAGAGUGUUCCCUAUCUAGGAGAGUCACAGGUUGUAGGUGACACACUGAGGGGCUUCUGGCCUCACAGAACACUAAGAUGACCUCCUAGAAGUACAACAGAAAUGCCAACUCAAAACAAACACUGAGCCAGGAAUGGGUGCCACUCUUCCUAACACAGGGCAUUUAUUAAAACAAAGAUCUCUCUAUAAGGUGCUCUGUCCCCAACAGUAAGUAGAGAAACCAAGGGGUAGAGACAUGAGUGGCCCUGCUUAUCAUAAUUCCCAGUGGUUCACCAGGGGAUCUUAAAUUUUUGUCCCCAUAGCUCCUGGUCCCCAAAAGGGCACACUAUCGUUAAGGGACACACCUGGGAAUCUUACUGAACUAAAAGUCAACCUGUUUCCAGGGCACUUUGGACUCCUUGUUCACAGGAAAAGGCAGGCGAAAAAGGGGUCACUCUAUUAGCAGGGGUAAUUGACCUUGAUCAUCAGGAUAAGAUAAGGCUCCUUUUAUUCAAUAUGGUGGCAAAGAGAAGUACCUGUGGACUUGCACCUCCUGGCACUCCCUUUCUUCAUUAAACUGUGCAUUGUUAUGUGCAGCCAUCCAGAAUUGACACGAGAAGCUUCAGACCCUUUAGGAAGGUUGGUUUUGCUCCCACCUCAGGUGAACCACCCAGCGGGAGCUGAGGGGGGAACCAAUGGUGUAGAGAUUAGAAUGGACUACAGCGGAUCAGUUGCAACCUGAGAUCAGCUGUAGCAAUUGGGCCUCUAGUUCCUCUGACCGAACAUCAUUUUCUAGUUUCCCUUCAGAAAAGAAGGACACAAAAGACAUGGAGGAACUGCCUCUGGGCCUGAGUAAAGAAGCAGAUCUGAACAGUGCAAGGAGGCAGGAUGUGUCUCAUUGGCCUUUUCCUACAGAGCAUAACUAAGGGCCUCAGUGGCUGAGUUCUGGAAUCCAUUGCUGGGUUAUCUCGAGAUCACCCCCGCCUCGGGCUGCUUCCAGCCAAUGACAGGGAUGGCAGGUAUAUUAAGAACUUCUACAUAUUGACAUAGAAAAUUAUAAACCAAUCAAUAGCACAAGAGAUUAGAGAAAUCAUCAGGCAUUUAUCAGAAAAGAGAGGCAAAGAGGAAACAUGAAAAAGUGCUUAGCCAGCAAAUAACCAGGUCACUCAAAUGGAGCCAACGGUUUGCUAUUUUAAGUGAUCAGAUGCACAGAUAAUAAUGAGGACAAUGAGGAAGAGGAGGAGAAGGAGAAGUAGUGAUUCAACAGUCCCCCAAAUCAUUGAAGUUGUAAGGAAACAGGCACUCAUAUAUGUAGCAGUGUAUAUUGAUCUAGUUAUACUGGAAGAGCAGCAUGGUAAAUUUAGUAAAGUUCAAGAUAUCUAAUUCCUAAACCCUAGAGGAUGAGCCAAGUUUCAGCUGAAUAUAAUGAAGAUAAAACUAGUGAUCAGAAGCAGAAAGAAAUUCAAAACAGGAAGGUAGGGGCAUACAAUACUCUCAGGAAGGCUGAGGGAACAGGCCGCAUGCAGGGCACCUGAAAAUGACUUCAACUGCUGCCUGUGUUUCUGACCCACCUAGGAUGCUGCUCUCUCUGCCAAAAUGAGGUUGCAGGGGAAUCGGGGUGGAAGACCAUCCUACAGCUGUUAUCCCAGGGUCAGGAAACUGUCUCCACAAUGGGCAACUUCAGGGCCACCACCCAAGUACAGUUCAUGGGCAAAAAUGCGCCCCGCCUCGGGAUCUGGGGGAUGCUGUCUGCUGCUGGAAAAAUAAAGAAAAAGCUUCUGUGCCUUGCUUGUCAGCAGAACAGCCCAGCUUGCACCUCACUUUUUCCCUUCCAAGUUUCCACAUGCAUAUCUAACUGGAAAAUCUAAAACAAGUCUGCUAAGAGAGAUUGAAGGGAGCCUCUAACUUUCCAGGUUUGGUGACCAUGGCCAGGCAAAGAAGGAGACAUCUAAAAUGGAAGUUGAGCACUGAUCUACCAAAUCUAUCACAUUUAGCAAGUUCACGUCUAAGCAUACACCUUGGCCAUUCUAUCCAUAGGGAAGGUGCUGGUAUUUCGGAUGGCCACUUCUUUUUUGGGCCGAUGUUUACCUUAGGAUGGAAAGCCUCUCUGGCCCUCUGGUACCAAUUACCAGUACCAUUCUCCAGACAUCACCAUGAACAAGAUGCAGAGACUCACCUGCAAACACUCCCUAGGAAGAGAAGAUAUUCCCCACCUAUGAACCAUUUCUCUGAUGUAUCCUAGCCUAUUUGCACACAGCUAUUUGCAGAAGUGUUGGCUACUAUAAUUAAAAAAUCAUGGAGUUCCCAUCAUGGCUCAGGGGUUAACAAAUCUGACUAGGAACCACGAGGUUGCAGGUUCGAUCCCUGGCCUCGCUCAGUGGGUUAAGGAUCCGGCGUUGCCAUGAGCUGUGGUGUAGGUCACAGACGCAGCUCGGAUCCCAUGUUGCUGUGGCUCUGGCGUAGGCCGGUGGCUACAGCUAUGAUUAGACCCCUGGCCUGGGAACCUCCA